Molecule: long non-coding RNA, 3337 nt
Organism: Gallus gallus (chicken)
Lineage: Eukaryota; Metazoa; Chordata; Aves; Galliformes; Phasianidae
Exons: 2
Source: RefSeq, a predicted model, not a curated record
CUGGUCUGGUAGUUGGCAACCCUGCACAUGGCUGGGGGUUGAAACUGGAUGAUCAUUGUGGUCCUUUUCAACCCAGGCCGUUCUAUGGUUCUAUGAUACUAUGAUCGUGUCCAAACACAAAGUCCAGUCAUAGCAGUCUUCAACACAGUCCAAAGAAUAGCGGGUGCCUGCUCAAAGGACUGCUAAAUUCUUCCUUUUGCCAAUUCAGAGUCUCCUGAUUUGUUAGUAAUCCUUCCUUUCUCCCAGUUUCUCAUCCUAUCAGGUGUAUUAGCACUGUACUUGAGUUGGUGGAAAUUCAGGAAAUCUUGCAUAUGAAAAAAAUGCCUUUAGCUUCUCUUUAUUUAUCUUUUAUUUCCUUAGGUCCACAGUAGAAAGUAUUCAUUCUUUUACUGCCACUUGGGUUUUUCUUCACAAAAUAUUUUUGUAGAUUUUGCCUCUUGCUAAAAAUACCUUCUUAGACGAAUGGUAAAUUAUGCAUUUUGUUCGUCUUGAUGAGUCCAUGAGAUAUGCCAGCACUUGAUUCAACCAGCAGGAAAACAGUGAGUUCCUUGAAAUAUUUUUCAAAAGCAUUAUGUCGUUGUAUGUCUUUCCUUUGGUCUUGUUCAGACCUUCCUCCUGAGAUAAUUAUGUGUCUGUGCAAGCUCAUUUUAUUGAGGAGCAAAAGGCUUUGUCUGUUAGAAUUUACCAGAAGCAACCACUAGUGUAAUAGGUACUUUCUGCUGUAGAGCUAAGUAAAAAAAAUGUUACAUCUACUCCUGUUAUUCCAGUACUUAUGUAUGUUCCAGUACAUUCCUGUAUGCUAUGAAAUAGCCAAAACAGUAAACUAGCAUUCCUGCAUUGAGAGAAAAGUGCUAAAGGUUCUGCCCAUCUUACCAAUUUCAUUUAGAAAGCCAGGAAUGCAAAGUGGAGCAACGCUACACAGUGUGUUCAGUGGCUGUGUGAGUGGUCUUUCUAAAGCAAGUAUUGCCUUACUCUGGGGCCCGGGAGGGAACAAAAGCAGUUUUGAUAUUUUUUUUGUUCAGAUCUAUUGUAGUCUAGUUUAAUUUGCAAAUAAAUGCCUCAGACCCAAGAAAUCCAGAUCUCCACUCUCAGUCUCACCACGACCACCAUCUCAUUUUGUGAUCAUGAUGAAAUCUGAAUUAAGAUAUCCUUUGGGUAAUGAUGAUGCCGUUUAGCAAACCCUGUGUGGUGCUGAGUUUUUCAAAAUUGCAACUCUCUUCUAUUUCUUCUGCCCUGCAUCUGUUAAAAUCAUUGCCAGUAUCAUUUUUGACAGCUUGGAGCUGUAUCUGAACACCUGUUAUUCAAACCCCAAAGAAACUGUCAGAAACGAGAAGCAUCGUUUAAAUAAAUACAGAUGACAACAACAGUGUGGAAAAGAAGCAUAAACAGAAUUUGUUACGCUUUUAUUUUCUAGAAUGCUACAACUGAGAAAUUCCUGCAAGGAAAAGCAGGUCUGGGCAGCCACCACAGGUGCUUCAUUAAUCUGUUGCAACUGACACAGAUUGACGCUUAACGUACUGCCAUGAGUGGAUGAUUACAAUCCCCAUACCCUGAAGGGCAUUUUCAUGUUACUUCUUUAUGAAUAAUCAAGAAUGGAAAAGAUGUAAAGAUUGGACUCUGAAGUAAACAGAAAGCUUACUCAACUCAUACCACUACACUCAUUAGGACAGGUGUUUGAAAUACGCCUGCAAUGCAUGCUUUCUCUUGAAGAUGGACUGCACUGAGCUGCCUGGAGGAAUGAAACUUGCUUGUCCUGGCUUUUCUCAGUGUACUUUGAAAGACGUGGGAGGGGGACAUCAGGGUGCUCAGAUCUGAGUACCUUCCCUUGUUAGUGCUGUAAGUUCUUUCUUAGCAGAGGAAACUGUGACCAAGUGAAUAUAUGUCAUUAUCUCAAAUGAAACAUGAUUGUAUUUCCUAUUUUUUCUAACAGCACAGAGGUCAUUCUAGACAUUUCCAAUCCUGUAAGUUCAUCAAUUUCAUCAGUUCUGACCUUUCCUUCAUUUUUUGUUACUGCAACUGUAUCUCAGCUUAGGCUAGCGGAUGCUUCACUUGUCAUUUUUGUCCCUGGCCCAUGGAGACAACUGAGAUCCAGGCACUCAAAAACCCAGCACGGACGUGCACUCUGCUGUUCAAGCUGGUUCCAGGCAUACAAGGAUAUAAGCAUGAAAAUGAUACUGUUCUAUACAUACCUGUUACCAAAAAGUAAUCUCAAUCAUCUUUGAACUGGUGACCAAAACUCUAAGCAUGUAAUAAUUUAACUUGCUUUAUUACAUAAUAAUAAUUUAAGAUAAAUCAAAAUUUGUUAAAAUUUAUUGAGUAAAAUUUCCAGUGGGUGUUUUUUCCUCCAGGAAAUGUAAGGAGUUCUGCAACAUGAAAAUGGGUUGAAAAGCCUCUAUCUAAAGACAUACCUCUGUGCCACAUAUUUUCUUCAGAGCUACCGAUAUGUUCUGGUGUUACUUAUGAUAGAGUUUCCAUCCAGAACUUGUCUGAAAUCUCACAGCAAACUGACAGAAGCCGUGGGAGAAACUGAUCGAUAAUUCCCAGUAUAAUUUGUGAUAUACUGCUGCAUGACAGUGAAAUUAAAAUGUUAUUGAAUUAGAGAAAAUAUUUGAUUGGUAUAAGUGAGUAUUUGGCCAGAAUUUGACCUGUGGAAAGCUGGAUAAAGGUGGUAUCACAGUAGUUUUGAAGAAGUAAAAAACAUUUUUUAAAUAGUUCUGUUUACUGAAUACAAAGGAUUUAACGCUAUCUUAAAAGUGAAUAAAAAAUAAAAAGCACCUCUCUCACCUGACUCUCAGACAGCGUGAUGCUGAAGAGGAGGUGCCACCAGGGCUGGCAUGCAUGCUGCAGGCUGCUGAGGAGGGCAGGAGUAAAUGGUACUGGUGCCAUGUCUGCUGGCCACGUCUACAUCUCGAGAGGUGGAAGGCAGUGUGGAGCACGGAGCUCAGCAGAAACCUGACCGAGUUUUGCCUGUGGUCUUUUUUUUUAAUAGGUCUGCUUCAGACUUAUACAGAUUUCACUGUAAUUGCUAGUCAUGACAGUCUUCAAAUGCUGAAGGUGAUCAAAGGCAUCAGCUUAAAAAUACAAAGCUGGCAUUACAAGGAAGUGAUUUAACCUCUCUCGGUAGGCAGGUGUGUGUUGGGAGCAGAGAGGGGUUCAUUGCUUCAGGCAUCUAAAUUGCAGCUGUAGUGAAAAGCAGCAAUUUGUCUAAAUCCAUGACAAAAAUCCUUCUAAACUGUCCUAACAGAUCUGCUCUGUAACCUGACUGUACGGGGAAAGAAUAAUUUUAAAAAGCAUUAAGAUUUAAUAAAUGAAAUAAAAAUAACGUGUUUAUGCUCUA